Molecule: ribosomal RNA, 479 nt
Filed under: uncultured organism
Description: partial 16S ribosomal RNA
Rfam family: Bacterial small subunit ribosomal RNA
Source: RNAcentral
GUACACUCCUGCGGGAGGCAGCAGUGGGGAAUUUUGGACAAUGGGCGAAAGCCUGAUCCAGCAAUGCCGCGUGAGUGAAGAAGGCCUUCGGGUUGUAAAGCUCUUUUGUCAGGGAAGAAACGGUGAAAGCUAAUAUCUUUUGCUAAUGACGGUACCUGAAGAAUAAGCACCGGCUAACUACGUGCCAGCAGCCGCGGUAAUACGUAGGGUGCAAGCGUUAAUCGGAAUUACUGGGCGUAAAGCGUGCGCAGGCGGUUUUGUAAGUCUGAUGUGAAAUCCCCGGGCUCAACCUGGGAAUUGCAUUGGAGACUGCAAGGCUAGAAUCUGGCAGAGGGGGGUAGAAUUCCACGUGUAGCAGUGAAAUGCGUAGAUAUGUGGAGGAACACCGAUGGCGAAGGCAGCCCCCUGGGUCAAGAUUGACGCUCAUGCACGAAAGCGUGGGGAGCAAACAGGAUUAGAAACCCCUGUAGUCCCAUGAU